UUUCCGUAGGUGAACCUGCGGAAGGAUCAUUGUCGAAACCUGCCCAGCAGAACGACCCGCGAACUUGUAUAAACAACUGGGGGCGGGGGGCGUUCUCGCCCCGUGCCCCCGAACGGCGGGGAGACACACGUGCCUUCUUGCCGAACAACGAACCCCGGCGCGGUCUGCGCCAAGGAACUUCAACUGAAGAGUGCCUCCGGUCGCCUCGGAAACGGCGUGCGUGCCGGAGGCGAAUCUUGUGCAAAACCAUAACGACUCUCGGCAACGGAUAUCUCGGCUCUC
Molecule: unclassified non-coding RNA, 282 nt
Filed under: plant metagenome
Description: partial contains small subunit ribosomal RNA, internal transcribed spacer 1, and 5.8S ribosomal RNA
Source: RNAcentral